CCUACGGGAGGCAGCAGUGAGGAAUAUUGGUCAAUGGACGAGAGUCUGAACCAGCCAAGUAGCGUGAAGGAUGACUGCCCUAUGGGUUGUAAACUUCUUUUAUAUGGGAAUAAAAUGUUCCACGUGUGGGAUUUUGUAUGUACCAUAUGAAUAAGGAUCGGCUAACUCCGUUCCAGCAGCCGCGGUAAUACGGAGGAUCCGAGCGUUAUCCGGAUUUAUUGGGUUUAAAGGGAGCUUAGGUGGAUUGUUAAGUCAGUUGUGAAAGUUUGCGGCUAACCGUAAAAUUGCAGUUGACACUGGCAGUCUUGAGUACAGUAGAGGUGGGCGGAAUUCGUGGUGUAGCGGUGAAAUGCUUAGAUAUCACGAAGAACUCCGAUUGCGAAGGCAGUUCACUGGACUGCAACUGACACUGAGGCUCGAAAGUGUGGGUAUCAAACAGGAUUAGAUACCCGAGUAGUC
This 459-nucleotide ribosomal RNA is filed under the name uncultured bacterium. Its description in RNAcentral is "partial 16S ribosomal RNA". It matches the Rfam family "Bacterial small subunit ribosomal RNA", at positions 338 to 795 of the family's 1533-position model. The record is from RNAcentral.